AUGUAUGCCGGUUCCAACCCCACCUCGAAGAUGAGGAACUCGGACCUGCGGUGCAGCUGACCACCUGAACGUUUUCUUCAAGUGCUCCACUUCGGCGGUGAUUUUCUCCUCGCUGAAGUUUGCAACAACUUGUAGCGCUUUCCUGAGCAUCCCAGAUCCACGUGGGACACCGAUUCGUUCAGCACACGCCACUAUCGCCCGAACGUGCUCCGGGUUAUUGCUGAGCAUCCAUGGCACACACAUGCACAGCUUGGUAAUAUCGCAAUCAUCUAG
RNAcentral lists this ribosomal RNA (273 nucleotides) under Triticum aestivum (bread wheat). RNAcentral's name for it is "partial small subunit ribosomal RNA". The record is from RNAcentral. Lineage: Eukaryota; Viridiplantae; Streptophyta; Magnoliopsida; Poales; Poaceae.